GCGUGAGUGAAGAAGGCCUUAGGGUUGUAAAACUCUUUCACCCGUGAAGAUGAUGACGGUAGCGGGAGAAGAAGCUCCGGCUAACUCCGUGCCAGCAGCCGCGGUAAUACGGAGGGGGCUAGCGUUGCUCGGAAUUACUGGGCGUAAAGCGCACGUAGGCGGCGUAUCAAGUUAGAUGUGAAAGGCCUGGGCUUAACCCGGGAACUGCAUUUAAGACUGAUAUGCUUGAAUCCGAGAGAGGGUAGUGGAAUUCCCAGUGUAGAGGUGAAAUUCGU
This 275-nucleotide ribosomal RNA is filed under the name uncultured bacterium. RNAcentral describes it as "partial 16S ribosomal RNA". It matches the Rfam family "Bacterial small subunit ribosomal RNA", at positions 399 to 691 of the family's 1533-position model. The record is from RNAcentral.